UCCCUGGUGGUCUAGCAGUUAGGACUCGGUGCUUUCACUGUUAUGGCCUGGGUUCAAUCCCUAGUCUGGGAA
This 72-nucleotide transfer RNA is filed under the name Sus scrofa (pig). It matches the Rfam family "tRNA". From Rfam's summary of the family: Transfer RNA (tRNA) molecules are approximately 80 nucleotides in length. Their secondary structure includes four short double-helical elements and three loops (D, anti-codon, and T loops). The record is from Rfam by way of RNAcentral. Lineage: Eukaryota; Metazoa; Chordata; Mammalia; Artiodactyla; Suidae.